Long non-coding RNA from Peromyscus leucopus (white-footed mouse), 474 nucleotides. RefSeq lists it as uncharacterized. The record is from RefSeq and is a predicted model, not a curated record. NCBI's taxonomy places the organism in Eukaryota, Metazoa, Chordata, Mammalia, Rodentia, Cricetidae. The transcript has 4 exons.
UUAUCUCAGCAGGAAGCCACACUGCUGGGCUGUUUCUUCAGCCAGCUUGAGAAAACACCUUGGGGCUGGCCUUUCAGGCCAGCCUUCUGCCCAGGAGGUGGCUGGCUCAGGACCCUUGCUGGGGCUGAGGUCUCAGAUAGCCUCGGCUGGAGUCAAAAUAAGUCAAGGAUGACCUUGAAGUUCCGAUCUUCCUGACAGCCCCUCCCGGGGCUGGGAUUACAGAGUGCAGCUUAGCUGGCAGACACCGUCCAGAAAUCAGCUUCCGACUACAAGCUCCUCCAAAAGUGAUCUACACCAUCCCAGCCCCAGGAGAUCAUUAGGAACAACUUGUUAUCAUGUUCUGCUCCUGUAACCCUGCCUAUUUUACCUAGCAAAUCCCCCAUUUGGAAACCCCCUACCCUUGAGCUAUAAAAUCCUUGUCUUCCUCAUAUCCAGUGCUGACCUCUCUAACCCUGCCUUAGGGGGAGGCAGCCU